UGUUGGCUUAGAAGCAGCCAUCAUUUAAAGAAAGCGUAAUAGCUCACUGGUCGAGUCGGCCCGCGCGGAAGAUUUAACGGGGCUCAAGCUGUAUACCGAAGCUGCGGAUGCGUAGGGUCUUCGGAUCCUAUGCGUGGUAGAGGAGCGUUCCGUAUGCCUGCGAAGGUGACCUGUAAGGGUUGCUGGAGGUAUCGGAAGUGCGAAUGCUGACAUGAGUAGCGUUAAUGCGGGUGAAAAACCCGCACGCCGAAAGCCCAAGGUUUCCUGCGCAACGUUAAUCGGCGCAGGGUGAGUCGGCCCCUAAGGCGAGGACGAAAGUCGUAGUCGAUGGGAAGCAGGUUAAUAUUCCUGCACCGAUCAUGACUGCUAUGGGGAGACGGAGAAGGCUAGGUCAUCCGGGUGUUGGUUGUCCCGGUUUAAGCGUGUAGGUGUGCUGCAUAGGAAAAUCCGUGCGGCUUAACCGAGACGUGAUGACGAGGUCUCUUAUGAGACUGAAGUGAUUGAUGCCCUGCUUCCAAGAAAAUCCUCUAUGCUUCAGGUCAUGAUGACCGUACCGUAAACCGACACUGGUGGGCGAGAUGAAAAUUCUUAGGCGCUUGAGAGAACUCGGGUUAAGGAACUCGGCAAAUUGGCACCGUAACUUCGGAAGAAGGUGCGCCUUUGUUAGGUGAAGGACCUCGCGUCUGGAGCCGAGAAAGGUCGCAGAGAAUCGGUAGCUGCAACUGUUUAUCAAAAACACAGCACUCUGCAAACACGAAAGUGGACGUAUAGGGUGUGACGCCUGCCCGGUGCCGGAAGGUUAAUUGAUGGGGUUAGUCGCAAGACGAAGCCCUUGAUCGAAGCCCCGGUGAACGGCGGCCGUAACUAUAACGGUCCUAAGGUAGCGAAAUUCCUUGUCGGGUAAGUUCCGACCUGCACGAAUGGCGUAAUGAUGGCUACACUGUCUCGACCCGAGACUCAGCGAAGUUGAAAUCGCUGUGAAGAUGCAGCGUUCCCGCCGCAAGACGGAAAGACCCCGUGAACCUUUACUAUACCUUCACACUGAACUUUGAAGUUGUCUGUGUAGGAUAGCUGGGAGACUUUGAAGCGUUGGCGCCAGCCAGCGUGGAGUCGUCCUUGAAAUACCAGCCUGACAGCUUUGAGGUUCUAACCUUGACCCGUUAUCCGGGCCGGGAACAGUGUGUGGCGGGUAGUUUGACUGGGGCGGUCUCCUCCCAAAGAGUAACGGAGGAGCGCGAAGGUACCCUCAGCACGGUCGGAAAUCGUGCGUCGAGUGUAAUGGCAGAAGGGUGCUUGACUGCGAGACAGACAAGUCGAGCAGGGUCGAAAGACGGUCAUAGUGAUCCGGUGGUUCUGUAUGGAAGGGCCAUCGCUCAACGGAUAAAAGGUACUCCGGGGAUAACAGGCUGAUACCGCCCAAGAGUUCAUAUCGACGGCGGUGUUUGGCACCUCGAUGUCGGCUCAUCACAUCCUGGGGCUGUAGCCGGUCCCAAGGGUAUGGCUGUUCGCCAUUUAAAGUGGUACGCGAGCUGGGUUCAGAACGUCGUGAGACAGUUCGGUCCCUAUCUGCGGUGGGCGUUGGAGAUUUGAGAGGAUCUGUCCUUAGUACGAGAGGACCGGGAUGGACGAACCUCUGGUGUUCCGGUUGUCACGCCAGUGGCACUGCCGGGUAGCCAAGUUCGGACGGGAUAAACGCUGAAAGCAUCUAAGCGUGAAACCCACCUCGAGAUGAGAUCUCCCCGGGAGUUCGACUCCCCUGAAGGGCCGUGGUAGACCACCACGUUGAUAGGCUCCAUGUGUAAGCGCGGUAACGCGUUGAGCUAAGGAGUACUAAUUGCCCGUGUGGCUUGACCAU
Molecule: ribosomal RNA, 1855 nt
Filed under: Gammaproteobacteria bacterium
Lineage: Bacteria; Pseudomonadati; Pseudomonadota; Gammaproteobacteria
Description: partial 23S ribosomal RNA
Rfam family: Bacterial large subunit ribosomal RNA
Source: RNAcentral